RNAcentral lists this ribosomal RNA (449 nucleotides) under Klebsiella pneumoniae. Its description in RNAcentral is "partial 23S ribosomal RNA". It matches the Rfam family "Bacterial large subunit ribosomal RNA", at positions 812 to 1258 of the family's 2925-position model. The record is from RNAcentral. Lineage: Bacteria; Pseudomonadati; Pseudomonadota; Gammaproteobacteria; Enterobacterales; Enterobacteriaceae.
UGGCUGGGGGUGAAAGGCCAAUCAAACCGGGAGAUAGCUGGUUCUCCCCGAAAGCUAUUUAGGUAGCGCCUCGUGAACUCAUCUUCGGGGGUAGAGCACUGUUUCGGCUAGGGGGUCAUCCCGACUUACCAACCCGAUGCAAACUACGAAUACCGAAGAAUGUUAUCACGGGAGACACACGGCGGGUGCUAACGUCCGUCGUGAAGAGGGAAACAACCCAGACCGCCAGCUAAGGUCCCAAAGUCAUGGUUAAGUGGGAAACGAUGUGGGAAGGCACAGACAGCCAGGAUGUUGGCUUAGAAGCAGCCAUCAUUUAAAGAAAGCGUAAUAGCUCACUGGUCGAGUCGGCCUGCGCGGAAGAUGUAACGGGGCUAAACCAUGCACCGAAGCUGCGGCAGCGACACUAUGUGUUGUUGGGUAGGGGAGCGUUCUGUAAGCCUGCGAAGGUG